Molecule: unclassified non-coding RNA, 805 nt
Filed under: Hevea brasiliensis (rubber tree)
Lineage: Eukaryota; Viridiplantae; Streptophyta; Magnoliopsida; Malpighiales; Euphorbiaceae
Source: RNAcentral
AGUAAGAGCUAUGACAAACGAUUUUGUGAACACGAGAGGAAUAAUUAAACCAUUACACAAAUGAAAAAGAUCAAGAAAAUAAAAAUUCAAGUACAGAGACCACCCUCACCAGUCACUCCCCUCUUUCAAAGAUAUCCAGCUGCUUCAAAAUAAUUACAAAUCUUCAUCACAAACAAUGGUUCCCUCUCUCUCUCUCUGAAAUCUCUUUUAUCAUAAUGAUUUUUAUCACAUCAAUUUACAACUCUCUAUUUAUAUAUGUAUAUACCCGUAGUUAAUUAAUUAAUAUUGUGGAUGAGCUUUAAGAAUAACUAUGGCCGCAGAGUUAUUCCCAUCUCCAGUUAUCAUCUACUAGACGAUAUAUUGAUGGAAAUUGAGAUAAUUAAUAAUCCUCAUCAUUAAUUAUCAGCAAGCAUAGAACUGAACCAGCUCGUCCAGAGACUCGGGCUGUGGAUCAGCGUUCUCCAACAUCCAUAGCAAGUGUUCGAACAAAACCACUUCACAUGCAAUGCUGAUACUAUCCGACUCACUCGACCUCUCUGCAAGCUCGCGAAACAGCGGGUGGUCGAUCACGUCCGAGCUUACCAGGUAGCGUCUGCGAGACUUCCCCACGUACACCGGGUGGAGAUCUCCGGUGGAGGAGGAGGAGUCCACGGUGUCGGCUAUGGAGCGGCUUUGCUUAUUGAAUGAGUUGAGUUUCUUGAGGACUGACUUCAGCUUGGUGAGCUUGCCACCUUUGGCCAUUUUCUUGGGUUUUAUGGGGGAAAAAGAAAGGACAAACAAGAAUGGGCUAUUGCUGUUGAAUGAG